RNAcentral lists this small RNA (131 nucleotides) under Caenorhabditis brenneri. RNAcentral describes it as "sRNA CBN34375". Lineage: Eukaryota; Metazoa; Nematoda; Chromadorea; Rhabditida; Rhabditidae. The record is from RNAcentral.
UUUUGAAGCGAGUUACGCGUCUUCAAAGUUGGAGUGAGAGAGUGAGAGACGCAGAGAAAACGACUGUAUCUUUCUCUGCCACCUCUCACUCUCUCAUCUCCAACUUUGAAGACGCAUAACUUGCUUCAAAA